This 339-nucleotide long non-coding RNA is filed under the name Nicotiana benthamiana. RNAcentral describes it as "long non-coding RNA (NBEN_LNC006125)". Lineage: Eukaryota; Viridiplantae; Streptophyta; Magnoliopsida; Solanales; Solanaceae. The record is from RNAcentral.
CCCAAUAGAAAAGGAACUGAAGUCUUCCACCAAACCCUGCAUAGCUGACAUAGGAGGCAUCGAUCCUGGAUGUUGAGAUGUUAGAGGUGGUGGUGCUGCAUAGCCUCCUUGUUGAGCAAGAUAUGGGGUAGAAGCUGCUGGCACUGGUGGGACAUAGCUGCCGUAGGAGGCGUCGAUCCUGGAUGUUGAGAUGUUAGAGGUGGUGGUGCUGCAUAGCCUCCUUGUUGAGCAAGAUAUGGGGUAGAAGCUGCUGGCACUGGUGGGACAUAGCCGCCUGGCUGAGAAGGAUAUGAUACCGAUUGUCUAGGUGGAGUCUGUGUAAACCCUGAAGGCUGCUGA